This 449-nucleotide ribosomal RNA is filed under the name uncultured bacterium. Its description in RNAcentral is "partial 16S ribosomal RNA". It matches the Rfam family "Bacterial small subunit ribosomal RNA", at positions 29 to 523 of the family's 1533-position model. The record is from RNAcentral.
AACGAACGCUGGCGGCAUGCCUAACACAUGCAAGUCGAACGAGAUCUUCGGGUCUAGUGGCGCACGGGUGCGUAACGCGUGGGAAUCUGCCCUUUGGUUCGGAAUAACAGUUGGAAACGACUGCUAAUACCGGAUGAUGACGAAAGUCCAAAGAUUUAUCGCCAGAGGAUGAGCCCGCGUGGGAUUAGCUAGUUGGUGUGGUAAAGGCGCACCAAGGCGACGAUCCUUAGCUGGUCUGAGAGGAUGAUCAGCCACACUGGGACUGAGACACGGCCCAGACUCCUACGGGAGGCAGCAGUGGGGAAUAUUGGACAAGGGGCGAAAGCCUGAUCCAGCAAUGCCGCGUGAGUGAUGAAGGCCUUAGGGUUGUAAAGCUCUUUUACCCGGGAUGAUAAUGACAGUACCGGGAGAAUAAGCUCCGGCUAACUCCGUGCCAGCCGCCGCAGUAA